This is an RNA transcript of Brachypodium distachyon (stiff brome), 2368 nucleotides long. It is a transcript of the gene named hydroxyisourate hydrolase, with no coding region annotated. NCBI's taxonomy places the organism in Eukaryota, Viridiplantae, Streptophyta, Magnoliopsida, Poales, Poaceae. The record is from RefSeq and is a predicted model, not a curated record. The transcript is spliced from 4 exons.
CCUGUAGUAUUUUCACGCAUGGCGUGGGCCGUGGGCCUCCCAACUCCCAACCGAGAGAGGGCCUCCCUCCCGUCCCGCGACGGCGGCGGAAGUCCACCGCCGGCGACAUGUCUCCUCCUGCCCCUCCCGCCAGGUUGUACCCCGCUCCGCGCCGCAGAAACCUUAUACGGUUCGCCUCGCCCUCCCCGCUGCUCGCGACACAGCGCGCAAACUCAGCUCACAACCCUGCCCCUGCGGCCCAGCCCCACCGCCGCCUCAGCGCCGUGGGUACGGUACGGCCAUGGGAGCUGCAAAUCCCACCGGAAGGCGAACCGUGAACAUACACCGGUGAUGAUCCUGUAGAUGGUGAUGUGGCAGCUGACGGCUACCCCAAGUACAAGACUAUUUACAGUGAGGCUGCCUUGGUAUGAUCCAUUUUUCAAAGGGGGGUGGGUGGAUGGGACAGGGAGUCGGGGAGCAGGAUAUUUUGUAGGUAGUAGCUCAUAGAAAUGUUGGUUGGUUAAGACAAGCCUUUUGUCAACAUGACUCGUUAAUGUGUGGUUUAUGUGAUACAAAAUCGUAAUCAUUACUAUUUGUUUUAAUACGAAUCUAAUAACAUCAAUUUUAUCUCUUGUGUUACAUAAAUUGCAUACUGAUGAUGUUAUUGUUGGUCUGAGGCUUGUCUUAACCAUUUAAGAUAUGGCUUAUGAUAAUAGCAGAUUUGGUACAAGUGUUUGACUAUGCGUAGUGUAUGCAGAAAUCUCUUCAUAAUGGUGCCCAGUAGUUCUGAUCUUCUGAUGUGGUUCUGAAACCAAGAUCCAUACAAGAAAGAUUCUGCAUUCCACAAGACUAGUCAAACGAUUUUACAAAAUAAGAACGGUUCUACAUGAUUACUGCUCCUCCUUAACUAACUCUAGCUCCUCUAGGGAUGGUAGUUGAUGCUGGUAAAUUUUGCAUGCUAAUAACAUUCUAUCCUUUACUCGUGUUUAUUCCAGGAGGAUAUCAAAUUAAUGACAGAGACUGGGCUGGCUGCUUAUAGGUUCUCUAUCUCUUGGUCAAGGCUUAUUCCUUAUGGCAGAAGAGAAGUCAAUCCAAAAGGAUUAGAGUACUACAAUGAUCUCAUCAAUGAACUCCUUGAUCAUGGUAAAUCUUGUACGAAAAGAUAUUUAUGUACCAAUUAAUCUAAUCAUCAUGAAGACUCAUAUAUAAAGGUAGUAGAUCAGUCAUAUGGAAAUGAUACCAGUAUGUUUUGAGCAGGGCCUUAGACCCUUGAAUUUCUAGUUGGCUGAAAUUCUACUCCUGAGCCUGGACCAGGGAGUAAGCCCAGGAAUGCUGAGCUGAGCUGGACUGGACUGCCAAUGAACAUGUCUAGUUUAACUUACUCAUCCUGCUUCCAUUUGUAUUUAUUUACUCCUUCCGGUCCAUAAUAAGUGUCUUAGAUUUAAUACAACUUUGUACUAAGUACAAAAUCUGAGACACUUAUUGAUCGGAGGGAGUACGUUUUAAUGGUCAAAAUAGAUGUUGAAAUGGAAUUUGAGGGGAUUUAUCUUUUCUUUACACUUAUAAAGAUUCGAGUUGGUGGUCGUCAAUUCACCCAGCAAGACUACCCCCUAGCUUGUCAGAAAUCACUUGAUUGUCACCCUUUCAAUAUUGUACAUAUGUGUUGCAACCAUUUGACUGUAGUGAUUGGUUUGACAUAUACUUUUGACAUAGUUGUUUUCUCAAGUAAUUUUUUUAAGAGAGUUCUUAUUUAGCAUAAAAUUGGAAAAUAUGAGCACAUCUUUUUUUUAAGAACUCAUGCACGUAAUGCAUAUUUUUAGUUCCGUAGCAACGCACGUGCAUUUAGCUAGUAUCUCUAAGUUUGAGUUAGAUUGAAAGUGACAUAGAUGAAGAAUGCCAUUGAAAAACACAUAUACUGCAAUAGUCAGUAUGUUCAUACUUUGGCAAAGUACUAUGUAUAUUUUGACUGCCGAUUAAUAUUCCAAGUAUCUUGCAGGAAUCCAACCACAUGUUACCAUUUUACAGUAUGAUCUUCCUCAAAUCCUUGAAGAUGAAUAUGAUGGAUGGUUGAGUCCUCAAAUCAUGUAUGCAUCUUAGUUCAUGCAUUACAUGUUUUGUCUUCACUAAUGAGAAGUUUGAUUGGUUAGUUGAUAGUGUUUACUAUGAAGUGUGUGUUCUACAUAGUUGUGUUACACAUAUCAUCCAAUGUAUGUGGAUAUGCUUUGCCUUAACGAAAAAGAUUCUAGCGAAGAUGAAUACCAAUUAGAAGCCUUUUAAUGGCCUGCCCACCAAGGAUGGCAUUAGCUUUGUGUUACACAUAUCAUCCAAUGUAUCUUGAAUUUGUGCCACCGCAACCUGCUCUUGGACUUGUUAAAAAAUUUAUUGUUCU